Molecule: long non-coding RNA, 16046 nt
Filed under: Musa acuminata (dwarf banana)
Lineage: Eukaryota; Viridiplantae; Streptophyta; Magnoliopsida; Zingiberales; Musaceae
Description: long non-coding RNA (MACU_LNC007826)
Rfam family: tRNA (bases 8704-8793)
Source: RNAcentral
CGAGCCCAGUAUAGAUGAAAGUAAAGACACAACAACUUAGCUUAGCAUCCCUUUUUCUCAGAAUCAUUUGCGCAACGCACCUUGAUAACAGCAUCUUUGAUCUUGUGCCCGGGACUUGUGAAGUCGACGAAAGAAUAAGCAUCUGCUAGAGAAGGAUAAGGAUCAGAUGAAUAAGAUGGAGCAGUGGUAACGAGAUCAGUGGAUGAAACAUCAGAAUUCUCUAUGUAUGAUGGAAUCAGGUAACUCGGCUCGCGUAAGCGCAAUUGCAAUCAGCGAGAUACAAGAAUUACAGUAAUAGUGUCAUUCAAGUAGUCAGCGGGUACCUAAAAUUCUUUAUGGGUCACCAACCUAAGUGCUCAACAAUACAAUUAUGACUUUAUGAGUGGAAAGAGAAGAGUAAGGAGCUGAAAGCCUUUACAGAUUACUUUAUAACUGGCUAUUUUCCUUCUUCUGCCCCAAGAAACAGAACUAGAUUAUGACUUGAACCCGAAAGCGCCUGUAUACUCCUGAACACAGUUGCUUGGUUGCUCGCUCCUCUAAGAAUGGAGUGGACUUACCUAUCCCUCUGAUCUUGCUCUUCUAACUCUCCUUUGGCUACUACGCCUAUGGCUCCCGAGCGCAUAGCAAGUAAUAAAUACAUUCUAACAAAAUACACUAUAACAGAACAGGAUCGGUAUUCCACUCUAACAAGAACAGGAACGGGAGAAGGAUCGGCUUCUAUACUAGUAUACACUUGGCUCUUCUACUUACCUAUGGCAACAGGCAACUAUUCACUUCAUUCGGCUAAUCUCACUACUUGCUCCCCGGGCUCUGGCAACGGCCAAGCGACUACUGAUAUUGAUACUGAUCCUUAAGAUGACUCCUCCCCUCUUGCUACUAUCUGAUAGAAUACCUCUAGCUCCCCUCUCUACCACUACUAAUAAGAAUAAGGGAUCUACUAACUGGGCCAAUAAGAAUUCCGUUAUAGGAGCGAUAGAUAUGAAACCACUAAAAGGCUAAUUCCACCACUACGGAAGGUAUCAAACGACGGAAUCAAACCAGAACUACUAUUAACUAAGAGAACCCGGUCUUAAACUUCUUACCGGACAGGUUCACACAGGACUUGUUCAACUACUGAUUCUCCUGCUCGCUCACCAAUUACUUAAGGGCUUAACUCUUUCACUCUAGUUUCUUAUUUACUCCGAACAGUACUUACCUGGCAAUUCAAUAAGUCAAGUUUUUCACUCAAGAAUUGGGUAAUUAGCCUAGUGCCCCCUUACGCCAACACGCUACUUUAGAACUGGAACUGUUGAUUCUCUUGUAACUGCUAAUUCUUUUACAGCUGAUGAUCCAGCUUGAUACUCUGUUCCUGCUUGAACGCCUGGGCCAAGCUUAUACUAAGUACUUUGGUGGGCAAGGUUUACAAUAAGGCAACACCAAGUAGUGGGAAUGAAUCUCUUGGGAGGCGAGUAACUCCACUUUAUGAACAGACCUCGAACUGAAGAGGACUCAUCGAACUGAAGGAGACUCAUCGCUUGCUGCUUACUUAACUAGGAACCAUAAAGAUGUUUGGUUAAAAUGCAUUAGUUUGCAAGUUUCCUAGUUUCAAUGAGAGAUUUCCCAUCCAACCACGGAAGUUAUGUUUUAGUGCAUUUGAGCCUACUAACUUGAAACCCUUGCUAAUACUGAGCAAGAAUUGACCUCUCCCUUGACUCUUGCAACAAAUACUUCCUCUUCUAGAACACUUGGUGUAGAGCCCAUAUAUAUCGGUGCAAGUGAAAGUCCUAGCCUAGCCCUACUACUGGUCUGGUCCAACUGUUGCUGCAAGAGAAGAAAAAGGGGUUGUAGGUAUUCUUUGUGAAAAGAAAGAGCAUAAGUUUCAGUUGAGGAAGAAUCAAUUCCAUGCUUUGAAGCGCGUUGCUCAUGUGGUGGGGGUGCCGCGCCUGAGGUGGUUUACUUACCUAUAUCUAUUAUGCCGGGGAUGGUAAAUUACCCAUAUCCAUGCUACUAUUGGGGGCCAAGCAACUAAAGUAGUAUACAAAGGCAAAGAACCAAGCAACGGACAAUCCACUACUUCAGAAUGGAAUUGAAAAGAGCUAUGUAUGGGUCCCUUGCCGACCUCGCCUCUUGCUCCUCUCUGGCUACAAUACCUAUGUACUGUAUUAGUUAUCAAAAGUGCUGCGAACUUGUAUAUAAGGAGAGAAGCCCAGACAGUAAAGUAAGUCAGAUUCAAAAGAAAAGUCUGUGAUUAUUAUAAGAUGUAAUUUCAAAGAUGUAAUUGAAAAUAGCUCUUAUAGUAAGUGAAAGCCACCCUCCCUACCUAUGGAUUGAUUUGAUAGGCAAUAGGAACCCAAAUCUUUUAUAGCUGCACUCAUAUCCAUUAGACUAGGCACAAAACCAAUAUCUAUUACAUCACACCACCCCUCCUAUUGAGAAAUAAGGAUGGAAUUUGUACCCCCCAAAUAAGGAUUGAAUGGACACCCGCACCGCUCGUAUAGUAUGGAAUUGCCUGUUACAAAUCCAGAGUUCACCGGUGUUCAGGGCUAAAGGGCCGCUAGUCAAUUAGAAGUGAAGAACCAACUAUCCACUACAAGGCACCUAUAUCUAUUAUAUUCUAUUCUAAUGAUACCCGAUGCCCCCUCUGGCUCUAAAAAUACCUAUCUUCUGGCUACCCAGUGCUUGCACAGCUACCACUAUUGAAUGUUGAUCUUCUAGACUUGGUAUUAAACAACAACAGGAGCAGUACUAAAGGGAUGAAGACUAGAACCAUUAACUUCAGGGCGGGAUCUUUUCUCUUGAUCCUAAAACCUCACUCGGGCUCUUUGAACUCUUUUGAAACAGGACUACGAAACUACUAGUUUCUCGGACAGGACAGGUUUUCUCUAUUUACUAUCCCUCCAGAUUACUGAAUCAGGGGAGUUAUCAGAAGAUUGGUCAUAACCUUACUACAAUGCAGAGUUUGCUCUUUCUCUUAAGAAUGAAGGUAUCAGAGCCAGUCCUGUGUUCGUGAACUACAAGCAAUGAACUACUGGACUUACCGCUACUGAAGCACCCAAAUGGAAUGAUCUUUCUGCUACUACCACAUAAAGGUUAAUCCAAUACUUAACUAGACUAGUUCAAGCCAAGUACCCGACUCGGGAAAGAAAGUCAAUAACAGCUCCUGCUCUCUCUACUUCCAGGACUAUCCGAACAAAACUCUUAACUGACCACUUACCUUGAUGGUUCCAUUGCAUACCUCCACUCAAGCUUGAAUUAUGUGUUAUGUCCCCUUAUCCUUAUUCUAAUCCGGAUCUAGCUUCUGUUGAUUCCACCUAGCCAGGACUUUCUUCUUUAAUAACUAUGGAUUGCUCCUCCACCUCUGGGUUUAGUGACAGUGACUAGGCUGGUUCUCUUGACACUAUACCGACUCAGAUAAGUACUGCCGCUAGUGUUCUUCCUGGCAACACCUCUUUCUUCUCUCUCCGAUAACUACUAGUGCUGAACCCAUCUUACCGAACAAACACUCUCACUUUAGCCUCUGAUCCCGAUCUUGAUAGGACAUCUUCUCUUGGAUAAUUCCAUUCUAAUGGCAAAGGAGCCAGGACUACCUAGACUACUACUUGAGAUGCAACAGGACCAUACCACUGGAGAUUCCACUUUACUACUUCCACUCACAGCAAAUAGACAAGUUCCUACUGAGGAAUUGCAUUUGAAGACAUAGCUCCUAGACUCCACAACUACCCGCAAAGUCAGUCAACAACACUACCCGAGUAAGUAAACCACCAGCCAAGGCCUACCGGUCUGAAGACUAUAACUCGAGCAGGAACAGAGCCAAGCCACUAAAAAGGAGUCAUUUCAAUCAUAACCUUACUUUGGAACUAGCACUGGGGAUGCAAAUAGAAGUCAAACAAACUAACUAUAAGGGCCUACCUCUACUCUGGCAACUAAUACUGAUGAAACUACGAAACCACUUGUUGGGACAAGAACUCCACUUUCCACAGCUGACCUUGUCUCUCUCUCCUCUGUAAACAAACAAGGAUUCCACUCGGUACUCGGUCUUCAACAAGAGCAGAAAGAUACUUGUCACCGGCAAGCUACUACUAGGAGCUACAGCACCAAACAACACUUCUUUUUUUAAGAAACACCGGUCAAAAAGGCAGCAACAAGAUUUUAGCUAAUAGACCAGGUCAUACUAUAUAUAAUUGAUAGGACUUCUGGUCAUACCCGGCAGCAGGCUUGCACCGAUCAGCUCCUGUCUCGGGGGUACUGGCUCCAUUCUCUAACUACAUAGCUCCAUUCUCAUACUACCAGGUUGAAGCCUUACACCGGCUAGCUACACUCUUAGAUGCACUGGCUCCAUUCUCAUACUAGCUCUUUCCCUUACUAGCUCCAUCCUAUGAUUAUGUUUCUUACCUUUACCCACUUGUCUAUCUGUUCCUUGGCUCUCCGAGUUGCUUGGCUCUGCUUUGAGUUGAAGUAUAAGUAGCACUGGUUGUAUUCCUGUUAGCAUUAGUAUGAUCCCGGUGUUCCGUUUAAGGUAUUGUUUACACUAAAGUAAAGGAAGUCUUAUUGAUAUCAGUUUCAGUUUAACAGCAAGGACGGUCAGCCCAAUAGCCAGGAAAGACAGAUGUGAGGUUAAGGUCGGUAGACUAAGCGAGGUGAACUACAUAAUGGAGUUUGGGAGUCACAGUUUGAAGCUAGAGUAUAGGCAUUGAAGGCAGGGGCCUACGCCUUAAAGAGAUUAGUGGCAUACUUUAGGGGGUUAACAUGAGACAAAUUCUUAUUAGCAGUAGUUUAGGUAUGUUUGCCAGCAGCUCUCUAUUCUGAGAAGCACAGUUCGAGUCGUUAGGUACAGUUGGGUUUCUUAAUACAGGAGUUUCGGAGUGGCAUAUACUAGUAAUAGAACACAGGAUCCGGGUCUCGAGUUCAAUCCUGUCCGUGCCCAUCAACAAACCAUUCCAUUACUUACUUGUAUUAUUCCUUAUUUGAUCUUUGACUCUUCUAUAGUGUUUAUGUUAGGACAAUUCUUUAUUUACUGAACUCUAUCUAAGCCUUAGAGCAGUUAGUUUUCGUUUCCUUUGCCCCGGGCGCACCUGGUAUCCUUACUUCCGAGUGGAAUUCCUACUUAUUAGUUUCGCUUCUCACCUUUCAUUUCGUACUUCCCAAUAGAAAUAGAUUAGUCUUGCCAAUAGAAAUAGAUUAGUUUCAAAUUAACUAAAGCAGAACUUAUUUGGUGUUGAUGGGAAAUCCACUAUUGAAUUGAAUGCCCAACAAGCAACGUAUACAAACACAACUGCAAUACAAAAACGAAUCAGGUAUUUCAACUAGUCAAAAGAAGAAUAGAGCAACACGGGAAGCAAGGCUUGACUGGUCCACUUCAAUAUCUCGUAAUAGAAUAAGGUGCUGAAAGCCUAUGUGCUUUUAAGACUUUACUUACCGGCAAACAGACUGAACAGCUCUCCCUACUCUACUAGGCAUUGAACUAUAAAACAGUAAUUCUAAGACUUGUAAGACUCCACCUUACUGUAUCUCGGGCUUACUUGCCCUAGCUUCCAAUCUGAUAUCCCUGGUGUGACUAAUUCUUGUAGUUAAUAGCUUGAUUCUUCCUUUCCUACUUGAUUGUUUUAUUCUUCCUUUCCUACUAGUGAGUUGAAUUCUUCUAAUCAAGUUAUGGCUCAUCUACCGGAGUAAACUAAUACGGAUGCAACUGCUACAACAAAUACUGAUUCAAAAGGAAGGACUCCUACUUGUUUGAUUGGAUCCUAUCCCCGGUGGAAUUAUUAUAUAUCUGCAAGGAGUUUCAUUCUGACCUUAGAGUUCACCCAUCCCCUGUUACGCUUGGCUCUGGUAUUCCUACUUUUGAGUUGCAUUCUUAUCUACUACUCCAGUAGCGGGGAAAUAGCUGAUACUAACAGACUUCAUAACUAGCAUAGGGCUUACUACUAACUAAGUGGAAUUCUUUGACUCCUUAGGUCAAUUCUUUCACUGCCUUGCUUACAUUCUUACUGGAAACUAUCCCUCUCCUCUAGCUACUUCAAACAACAGGAUUCGUUCUCUCUCUUUCUGCCUCAGCCAAGACACUAGGCAAGUCGACUCUACUCUUGUGUAUACUACAAAGGAAACCGAUCCAAGCGAAAACUACUGCCAAAACUCUAGUCAAACUCUGAUCUUAGUUCCAGAAGGUAUGCAGUGAAGCAAGUAGCCAGCUCCUGUUCUUGUUAGAGUGUAAGGAAUAAUUAUAAUAAGGGGUUGCAUCCGUUCUGUUCUGUUCUCCUAUAUGAAGUUCUAUUGGUUUCCGCUACUUAGUCGGUAUAGCGUAAAGAUCACUCGUUUUUCAUCAGAAUUAGGUUAUUAUGCUAGUGUUAAGUCUACUACCUACUAACUACGGUGCUCUAGGUCGAGGCCUCUAAGUGUGAACUCCGACCCGAGCUAUGGCAACUCAUCAUGUAUUCUUUCUUUCCUUACCGGCUCUUAGCACCUUCCUUUAAGAAUAGAGUUUACUUACCUCUACCUCAUUGGCAUAAGCUACUGAUGCAACUUUACCUCUAUCCUAACCUUUUCCUCUUGCUCCUAGUAUACGCUUGCCGGCUUGUCUAGUCGGUUGCUUGGCCCUUUCCGCUUGCCGCAACAGAACAACUCGUAUUCUAUACAGAUACAGAUGCAGAUGCACUUUAGCUUGCUGGUAGAAUUGAAUCCAUCGAGCGCAGAGGAGAACUCACUAACGCUAUACAUUAUGCUUGUUCGGUUAAGGGAAAUCCAAUCAGUUGUUGAGUUGAGUUCGCCAAAAUGCCUUACCUCUAACGAGAGCCUCAAUCCCAUCAAAAUAACAUUAGUGGAGUUGGCCAAUAUCUAAAGGAAAUUUCCGUAGAGUGACUUCUUUCCUUGUCAUGAUGGUUCCACUGCUGACUUCUGAAAAGCUGCUUGGAGUAUUGUUUUUAAUGAAAUUAGUAUAGCUAUUUCUUAGUUAUGGAAAUGGGAAGCUUUUGCAUGAGGUAAAUGCAACACUACAAUGAUUCUACUGGGCCCUAAAGUCAAGUUCUCAAUCCUGAUGGGAAACUGAAGUCCGAUGUCAGAAAUACUCUUUAGAAAUAAAUGCAUUUAGAGGAUCCUACUCUAUUUGCUAUAGGAUUAUGCCCUACUUGAAUCAUUAGUCGAAGAGUGCCUUCUCUUGCUUGAAGGGAAGAAAUCAUACAACCAAUGAGAGUUGAUUAGAUACCUUUUUCCUCAAUAGUAAGUCAGCAUUUACAUGGGUCUGGCCUAUCCCCUAGGUGACUCUUAUGAUUGAUCUUAUGAAUCAGUGAACAGGUGCUUUCUCUUCUCAUUAAUAUAGUAGCUCUUUCUCUUUGAUUCCCCAUGACAUUGUGCAACUGGGUCAAAGGUUCUAUCACUACAACAAAACAUGGGUUUUUCUCUUAUAAUGAGUGACAGAUUUUCCUUUCCAUUCCAGAAGGGACUUAAUCAAGAUGAUCCUCGGACCUGUCUCCAUACUUAUUUGUACCUGUCUCCAUACUUAUUUGUAAGAGCUAUGGCUCUGGAGAGAAGAGUUAUGUUAUGCAGUGCAGAUUCCGCAGCAGAUGAGGGGCUAGGGAAGAUAGCAGAGCAGUAGCGGUAUUUUGGAUCACUCGCGGAAUGAACAUGACUGCAAUAAUCCUGUGUGUGUGAUUGAGAGAAUGAAGAAAGAAAGAAUCUAUUAAUGUAAGAAAGAAAGAAUAUAUGUAUUGUAAGAGGACUUCGUAUAAGUGAGAAAGCGGUCUCCUAACUCUUGACCGAAAGAAAUUCUCCCAAUCUCUCCUUUGUUUUCAGGUGGACUACAAUAAACUCCAUUCCUGUCCUUUUAGCAUUCAAACGGGUGCAAUGUAUUUUGACUGCCCCCCUAUAGUCUAGUAGAGUUAUAAAAGCUGGAUAAAAUGUGUAAUGCUGGAAAGUGAGCCUAUGUUGCUAAACUCUUUGGGGCUUAGGUUACCUAUACGUGGACUCGAUAAGAACGUAACAAUAAACAUGGAUUCUUUUUUAUUGCUGCUGUGUUUGUUGUAGUGACUUGGUGGAUGCUGGGCAGUAGCUCUAAAGUAUGUUUGCUACUAGGUCAAUUCUUUUACUAAUAAGGUUUCUUCUUUGGAUAUUGACACUUCCAUUCUUAUAUGUCCUAGUUCCAUUCUUGUUAGCCCCGAUACCUAUAAGUAAUUGGGUCAUUUAUAACAAAGUUGUUGUGUUGUAGUAUGAUUCCUAGGUUUAGUGCGUCUUCCCCCAUGCCGCCUAUUGGUACUUGUGGAGUCGGAUUGCCCUUAGGAACCCUAUCUAUAGGUUGACACCUUUCGCUCAAUACUCAAAUCGACAAUUGAAGCAUCUUAGGGUGGAUACACGACAGAAGGAAUUGUUCUAUCUCCAAACUUCACCUUCGACUAAUUUCAAGUACGAAAUAACAUAUAAGAGAGAAAUUUCUAUCGGAAAGUGUACCUUUUGUUCCAAUUGUACCUUUAGUUUGGAUUGGACAAGGAGAGAUAGUAAAUAGGAGGAUUUCAUUCCCAUUUCGUAGUAUACCAAUAGAGAAAUCCAUGGGAUACGAUUCAUCCAUUUUCACUAGAUAUGCUCCGUGGGGUAGCUGAUGAGAGAAAGAUCAGUUGUUGUUGAGAAAUAGUCAAUUGGAUUGGAUUUCUUCCUAUAGAACCUUUCAUUAGUCGUACCUACUGGAAGAAUUGGAAUGACUCGCUAUUUACUUGGUUUCUGGUCAAUAAUCAAUCUUAUGUAGGAGAGAUGGCCGAGUGGUUCAAGGCGUAGCAUUGUAACAGCUAUGUAGGCGUUUACCGAGGGAAAGCCAAUAACUUCCCUCUCUUUCCAUUUCUCUUUAUUCACCAACGUUACUGAACGCAUACUUAAUCUAGUUAUAUUCUAUUCCGGAAGUAAGAUUCUAUCAAAUAACCAUAGAGANNNNNNNNNNNNNNNNNNNNNNNNNNNNNNNNNNNNNNNNNNNNNNNNNNNNNNNNNNNNNNNNNNNNNNNNNNNNNNNNNNNNNNNNNNNNNNNNNNNNNNNNNNNNNNNNNNNNNNNNNNNNNNNNNNNNNNNNNNNNNNNNNNNNNNNNNNNNNNNNNNNNNNNNNNNNNNNNNNNNNNNNNNNNNNNNNNNNNNNNNNNNNNNNNNNNNNNNNNNNNNNNNNNNNNNNNNNNNNNNNNNNNNNNNNNNNNNNNNNNNNNNNNNNNNNNNNNNNNNNNNNNNNNNNNNNNNNNNNNNNNNNNNNNNNNNNNNNNNNNNNNNNNNNNNNNNNNNNNNNNNNNNNNNNNNNNNNNNNNNNNNNNNNNNNNNNNNNNNNNNNNNNNNNNNNNNNNNNNNNNNNNNNNNNNNNNNNNNNNNNCUGUAAUCCCAACCACAGCGGAUCAAGGCCCUUUUCUCUAUUUAGAAGAUUUCGGCGAAAAGAGCAAAGCAACUACAACAAAGGCACGGCUCCGGGCCAAGCAACAUACGGUUUCUCUUUGGAGUUUUUCAUCUUAUAAGAAUCAAGUCCAGGGUUCGAGGAAGAAGAAAGUACGCGCUGGAAGGAAGGAAAGAAAGUGUAGAGUCAGGAGCAGGCACUUUCGGGUUGUAUUGUUGUGUUGUUGGUUCUUCAAGUGUUGUUCUUGUGUCCGUAAGUGAAUCUGGUGUUUCGAGAUCCGAAUACGGGAAAGUGGAGGCUACCAGAUCAUAAGCCACAAGCGGGUCCAAAAGUGCAGUUUCUUCAGAAAGUGGAGAGUCUCUUUGUGAAGGUGAAUAAGUAGAAUCCAUGUUUGCCGUAAGAGAAGAAGGAAUCGGUUAGGUAUAAAGUAGAGUCGACAACAGAAUCAUAAGUGUCAGUUUCAAGAUCAGAAGCCAUAAUUCAGGAGUUUCGGAGGCUUAACUACGCCAAUAAGGAAUUGAAGAGACAAGUUCACGCCCCAAUCCAACUGGGCAACGUUGCUUGCCUGUAAACUUCCCUUUAGCACUUGUUAUUGCCCUUGCCCACCUCAGUAGCGGUAAUGGAGUUAAUACACUCUUUCUUCUCGGUGUCAGUUCCAUUCCGUUUUGAAGUUCAGGAAGAAGAGAUCUGUUUUUAAGGAAGAAGAGAGGAGACUCUAUCCGGGGAGUCGGAAUAUCUUUCUACAGAGCAGGGGAGAAAAGGAUAUACGAGUUAGUUGGGGAAAUCAGAUAGUAGUUUCAUCCCCGUAGUACUGCUCUGGUUCUUGUUGACGAACAAAGGACUCUGCCCCACCCUAGUAUAGGAAUGAAACAAGUAAGUAUCUGCUUGUCGGCUUGUCUGUCUGUUUGCUUUAAGGAGAAAAUCCAUUCUUUUAUGACUGUGUUUCCUGCGAAAGGGAGUUUCAAGUUAGACCAGACCCCGCUGACCUGGCUAACCUGACCUGACAAACUUGCUUGAAUUCUAGCUUUCAAACUUGGGAGCACGUAUGCCUGCUUGGCCCCUAGUGAAAUAAGUUCUCUUAUCUGUUCUUUUGAAUGCCCAAGGGAGCGGUGCUUGUGCUGCUUAGCCUUGUUCAACUGAGUGCUCUUACUUAUUAAGGCUUUAUCCUAAAUUGAAUCCUAAUAGAAGAUCAAUACUGAAAUUAGUAGGGGCCAGAGCUCAAUAAAUGUCUCUUUUCUAUCAUCUGUGUUUCUCCAUUCCGACAGUUUGAAGUCACUCACUACAACUUAUAGCACCAGCCUCACUACUACUUACUUUGUUUAGCUCCCGAAGCCAGUCCUUGUAUAUCGCAGCUAGGCCCGGCACCCAUAAUAGGCACCAGUGGAAGGGAUAUCCGGAGCAAGUGGUUUUUCAUCCAAAAGCAACUCCCUUUUCUGAUUUCUUCGUCGGCGAGCCCCUGGGUUGGUGACCUAUUGAUAUCAUGCCAUGGGUUGGCUACCUAUAGACCUUAGAGUCAGUCAUACUUAUGUCAACCAUAGAGAAAGAGAUAAUCGGCAGUGCCUCGAGAGUCCAGAAUCGAAGUUGAGUGAUGAAAUCCUACUUAGAGAAAAGACGCUGGAGAAGUAAAGGCGACAUCGGUACUUGUACCCGAUUCUUAGUCUUAUACUAACAGUCUCAAUCAGGGUAGCAAGUUUCAUUGUAGCGAAAGGUGAUUGGCUUGAUCUUUCUUGUCGUGGAGGGGAAUGUAUGGAUUCUGAUUGCCCAACUGCUACACCUUCCGCUUGAUUAUUGCCUUCUUCUUCUUUAGGCCCUUGCUAGUUCUUUGCGUGCCUCAAUUCUCUCUGAAGCGUUAGCUGUUUUAGUGGAAUCUUAUAAGGAAGUAGGUAACCAAUCGAGAAUAAGAAUAACAGGAGCAUAAACAUAAGCUGGCUCUUCACUCCUUAUUGCUUGCUGAUGCUAAACUCAAAUCACUAGCACACCCCGAACUCGCAUACAAAGCUAGAACUAAAGUGGAUUUCCUUCCCGCUGAGCUUCCUAUUGCCUUAACCUAGUAGUUAACCACUAUUUAUCUAAAAGAAGUGAAACCUCUGCACGCGCUGUAAAGAAAGACAGUUGAUCCGAAGUAAACAAACUAAUAAUUCCAUCUUUCUUCUUGAACACCUGCUAAGGAAGCUUUAGGGAAUAACAAGCUUCUCAUUUGUAGUUGCUUUGUCGGCUCGAAAAGCAAUGAAACAUGAAGCAAGUGGUAGAGAGUUCCAGAAGACAUUGUACGUGAACUUACUGGAGCGGGCGGGUGUGUUAGCAGAAGCAGUUGCGCUGUAGCUUAUUGGAGCAGUUAACUUAUGGAGGAGUGCGUUAGUGAGCUCGGGGCAUUUCACCUAGGACUUGCUCUUGCGGUUAAGUUUUCGGUAGUAUAGUUCCUGUUCCUUACCGCCCAUUAUGUUUUAGGGGGCAACAACAUUGGUCUUACACGCUAAAGGAAAAAUAGGUCUACUAUGGUCUCCUGGAGUUAGGGGUUUCAUUUGGUGCAAAAUCAUGGAAUGGAACUGACACGAACAUUUUCUAUAAAUAGGUAAUAACAACAGAGAAAGGAGAGGUCGGUUGUUGAUACUCUACUUACUUCCGGUUAAGGCAUUACAUAUUUUCUUGUCCUUGCUUGUUAGAGCAUAAGUAGUAGGUUUCACCAUUUCAAAAGGGUACAGGUACACAACGUAUUGAUGAUAGUAACAGCACUAGAAAGACUCCUAGGGCUAACCUCUUAUCUUAGCGUCUCACGAACCUCUUCUCGCUUUACAACUCCUAAGGCCUAUACGAAAACUGGACACUUCACGACUCGAAUGGACUGUUUACCUUUCUAAUGGAAUUGCACUUUCAAAUCAACGAGAUCUGGACUCGCUUCUGACUCAACAGUUGUCGUCUGGUCUAGUGUUCCUUUAUGGGAUUGAACAACCAGAUACUUUACUUGAUGGCGAGAUACGAGACUUCUUGUACUUGCUUGCUUGAGCGGGGCGGGGGCGGCUUGAUUGACUUCACGCUUUGGAUCUUGUUCCUACUGCUGAUCCAGCGGAUGAUCUUUCCACUUCGGAGUCUCUUGGGGCGCUAACUGUAAACCUUACUUGACUUUCGGAACCGACCUAUACUUUCUUUCCUGAAUUCUUUCUCGCCUUUGCCUUUCCCUCCCUUCCCGUUAAUGUCGAGUCAAGUCAAACAUAAACAGUCAAUUAUUUGAGUAUAGAAAGAUUGCCCUCCCGCUCGUCGUCAACACUAGAUCCCAAUCAAGCUUAUGAAACUGACUCUUCAAUCAUACCGGAAACUCCAUCCUUAAAGGAAGAGGAACACCAGGUUGGUUCAGAGCACAUGGUUGGUAUAGAGCACGAAGUUUGAAUCUUCUAUCUCCAUACCUGGCUAAUGACUCUAUUUAUCCGAGCAAUCAUUGAUCGGCAUUCUGGGCCAUCUCAUUUAAAGCAUUUCUUUGUGAACGCUUCGAACGUUUCUUUCUUCCAUUGCAGAUUUGUCCUUGACCUACUGGAGAAUACCCUUAUUUGCUCAUUGACUUCUUGAGAUGGAAAAAGAUUAUAGGAAAAGUGUCUAUCACUGCAGCAGUCCAUCUCGCGUCAGCAGCGCAUCUUGCAUCAGGAAAAGCAAGGCCGACACCGAAUGUAAGGUUUCACGCUCAGCCUUCUCAUUCGACACUCCCUUUAAGACACUAUUCGAUGUAUAUGUAUAUGUAUGAGUGGGAAAGACCUGGACCAAGAGGAACCAGUUGUGCUAUUCCUUCCCUUAUGAGUGGGAAAGACCUGGACCAAGAGGAACCAAGUUGCGCUAUUCCUUCCAUAAGUUAUUCCAGUUCUGACUAGUCUAAAGCUAGUCCUGUUGUUACCCAAGAGGCUAAUUCUUCCGUUUCUUGACUUGGAGUUGCGGAUCUACCUGUUGCUUCAAAACUGGAAACUAUUCAUCUAUCUCACAAUUCAUAUUCAUAUUGAAUAAUAUUAAUAUGCAUAUGGAACCUAAACUCACUACAUUGCUAUCCUACCGGGGGAAACUUGACGAUACUUUAGAUGAUACUUCCAGCAGUAGGCAGAGUGGAGUGGAGUUCUGCUCCGUUAGCAAGUUAUUAGUAAGUUCUGAGUUACGCUAACAUGAGCUCUCGGGGCGCGUUAGUAUUGGGAGUUUCUUUGUGUGUUAGGGAGCGGGUCAGGGGUACCUCUAUGGGUUCUUAAAGUCAGGAGGCAGUGAGUUUCCUUUUUUUUGUAUGUUACACGCUAUCUGAUUGGAUUUCUCCGUUUCCGUUUCUUGUUUCAACUCCUAUAACUUAUAUCAGCAGCCGAACCCAACACUUUUGUACUUGACUUCUAGCCUAAAGCUUUCUGAAUGGAAUCUAUCUAUCUUGCAGCACUACUCAUUGAAUGGAAUCUAUCUUGCUGCACCACUCAUUGAAUGGAAUCUAUCUUGCUGCACCCACUCAUAUAAGCAAGUAAACAACCAGUAUUGCUUCAAGACUGACUAUCUCUGCCCGGCCCGAACACAAUAAGCGUUAGCGUCCCGAAACUCCCAUUAGCGUGAAAGGGCUGUCUUUCUGAACUCACGUUAGUGCUUAGGAACGUCGUUUGCUAGUGGAAUUGAGUGAAAAAUCAUACAUAAGAGAAUAUAGGCAGCAGAACCGCAUACUAUAGUACUUGUUCCGUUGCUUUAAUAAACACGGAUUUAUUGGCUGCCGCCCGCCAGGUCGACCCGGACUCAAUUGCUAGAAUGUUCCCUUGCUUGAAAUUACUCUCUUAGGGGGGCCCUUACUUUGGUUGUUCGGUUGCUAGUUUAGUUUACGCGUUAGUUAGUUGUUCGGUUGCUAGUUUAGUUUACGCGUUAGUUAGUUGUUCGGUUGCUUCUUCACUCCUUACUUGACUCUAAGCUCUAACCCAUAUAUUACUCCUAAUACAAAGCUCCUAAACACACUUUUUGCCAUUAAUGAAGCUGUCGGCAAAAGAAGAGAAUUGCUUUAGGCACCCACCCGCUCUGCUCACUUAAGCGUUAGCGCGUUGCUUUAAGGAUGGAAUUUGGUGCAUAGUUCCGUUGCUUAUAGAAUGGAGUGAGGCCUUGCUUCCUAAGAUAUAUUAGAUGGGCAUAGAACAAGCAGUAAUGUACAGUAUUCAAAUCAAAUAAGUGAGACAGAUUCUAUAAUUGAUGAAAAACACUGCAUAUAUAUUAAGAGAAUCAGAUAAGUCAAAUGGAUUCUGAGAAAUAAGUCAGAUGACUCUAGUAACUCACAACACUGAAAGUUCGGCUGUCUCAAUAGACUUGGAAAUUGGAUUAAUCACACCGCUAAAGCUUCUGCACUAGCUAGUCUGUCUUGUCUUGAGGAUGAGGAGGUGGCUUGUCCAGCAGUUUAGGUCCUGUGCUCUCCCUUAUUUCAAAAGGGAGGGGUCGCGGGGCCCAGAGCGACUAUGCCCGGAUGUUUGGCGCAUCGAUAAGAGAGAGGCUAUCCUAUCCCAUGACUCAUUGUAAAAGGACCUAUAAGCAAAUAGCUAAGAAGAAACACUAGUAAAUCCCGCUCUUCCUGACCAGAAGUCUUGAAUCCUGUAUAGGACUUACUGCUUCAACUAAAGAGGAGGAUUUGUGCUUCUGGAGUGACCGCUUCAACUAAAGAGGAGGAUUUGUGCUUCCGGAGUGACCAUCCCGUCCCGCCAAUCCAAAGCCCCUUAAUAAUCUUGCUAUAUGGAGCCACCUUCUGAACCUCGACAUGCUUCUUUCCCAUUCUACAUAUCCUAAAAAGUAGGGGACCACGGCAUCCCCGAGCAACCACAAUAGUCCCGCAACCGACUUUAUGAAUUAAUGUAAGCUGUCUCAUCUCGUGUCCGUUGCUCCCGUACAAACUCAGGAAUGUCAUUCAGGUGAAGCAUCUUAUUUCUUACGGCCUGUCAUAAUGGUUACGCAGUGAUCUCGAACAUGACUUUAUUCUCAUGGAGAAAAGGGUUGAUUACUGCUCUUAUCUAGAGUAUAAUCUGGAAUGUUUAGUUCAUUAGGUCCUUCCUGACUCUCCCCUUUAGUUCAUUAGGUCCUUCCUGACUCUCCCCAUCCUUCCUAAGUUCUUACGCUCACUUUGAUUUCGCUCCUUCUCCUCUUACGGUAUAGCUUCCGGAUCAAGGGCUGGGCUCCAAACUUCUGAAUUUGGGGGCGAUCUCUCUUUGGGCGCGUCGCCUCUAAAGAGUCAAGCCUCCACUGAACUAAACUAUGUCUCCCCUUCCCUUCCAUAAGCGAGUCUCUCCCUUGAGUUAGACUUUUGCAUUUCACCAAGUCUUCGAUCAGAUACUCCCUGGUCAAAAGAUACUCAACUUGUUAGGAAGCCUUUAUUACUAAUCUUGCUUCCGAUAACGGGUUCGACUUCUCAUAUUUUCAUGAAUUACCAAUCACAUACCCUAACCCUUACUUAUUGCCUUCCCUCUUCCUUAGUCCCUUAUUUGGAUAUUUGGAAUGACUUUCCCUAAUGACUUUCCUCAAACCCUUUACUGCUCUUUCAAGGGCCGAUACUACUUGGCGGAACUACUACCAUGCCUCUAAAGAGUCUGACAUUGGACAAGACCCCGCGUAAGUCAUUAAUGCCACCCCUAGAAUCAGAUAAGUAAGGACUGCUGCUAGCGACAGGAAGUGAUGAACUUGCGCGUCAGGGACAUGCCACUGGCCCAAUUGACAAGGCAUAGGAAGCGAGUCCAGGGGGCCAAGCUACUGCUCA